Molecule: ribosomal RNA, 865 nt
Filed under: uncultured Nesterenkonia sp.
Lineage: Bacteria; Bacillati; Actinomycetota; Actinomycetes; Micrococcales; Micrococcaceae
Description: partial 16S ribosomal RNA
Rfam family: Bacterial small subunit ribosomal RNA
Source: RNAcentral
GAACGCUGGCGGCGUGCUUAACACAUGCAAGUCGAACGAUGAAGACCGUGCUUGCACGGUUGGAUUAGUGGCGAACGGGUGAGUAUCACGUGAGUAACCUUCCCUUAACUCUGGGAUAAGCCCGGGAAACUGGGUCUAAUACCGGAUACGACCAGUCCUCGCAUGGGGUGCUGGUGGAAAGAUUUAUCGGUUUUGGAUGGACUCGCGGCCUAUCAGCUUGUUGGUGAGGUAAAGGCUCACCAAGGCGAUGACGGGUAGCCGGCCUGAGAGGGUGACCGGCCACACUGGGACUGAGACACGGCCCAGACUCCUACGGGAGGCAGCAGUGGGGAAUAUUGCACAAUGGGCGAAAGCCUGAUGCAGCGACGCCGCGUGCGGGAUGACGGCCUUCGGGUUGUAAACCGCUUUCAGCAGGGAAGAAGCGCAAGUGACGGUACCUGCAGAAGAAGCGCCGGCUAACUACGUGCCAGCAGCCGCGGUAAUACCGUAGGGCGCGAGCGUUAUCCGGAAUUAUUGGGCGUAAAGAGCUCGUAGGCGGUUUGUCACGUCUGCUGUGAAAGCCCGGGGCUCAACCCCGGGUGUGCAGUGGGUACGGGCAAGACUAGAGUGCAGUAGGGGAGACUGGAAUUCCUGGUGGUAGCGGUGAAAUGCNCAGAUAUCAGGAGGAACACCNAAUGGCGAAGGCAGGNUCUCUGGGCUGNUACUGACGCUGAAGANCGGAAAGGCAUGGGGGAGCGAACAGGGAUNAGAUACCCUGGGNAGGNCCAUGNCGGNNAANGGNUGGGCACNUANGNGGGGGGNAACAANUCCACGGUUUGCGNGNCNGNAGCUNAACGCANNUGAGNNGCCCNCCNGGGGAAGNNCA